This 778-nucleotide ribosomal RNA is filed under the name uncultured Neocallimastigales. Its description in RNAcentral is "partial large subunit ribosomal RNA". It matches the Rfam family "Eukaryotic large subunit ribosomal RNA", at positions 23 to 638 of the family's 3401-position model. The record is from RNAcentral. Lineage: Eukaryota; Fungi; Neocallimastigomycota; Neocallimastigomycetes; Neocallimastigales.
GAGACUCUGUGCGCGUGCAUAUCAAUAAGCGGAGGAAAAGAAACUAACAAGGAUUCCCCUAGUAACGGCGAGUGAAGCGGGAAGAGCUCAAAUUUGAAAUCUUAAAGGGUUUCCCUUUACGAAUUGUAGUUUAAAGAAGUGUUUUCUGUUGGAGUUUCGGUAAAAGUUCUUUGGAAUAGGACAUCAUAGAGGGUGAGAAUCCCGUAUUUGACCGUUACUUUCCAGCUGUGUGAUACACUUUCAAAGAGUCGGAUUGUUUGGGAAUGCAGUCCAAAGAUGGGUGGUAAAUUUCAUCUAAAGCUAAAUAUUGGCGAGAGACCGAUAGCGAACAAGUACCGUGAGGGAAAGAUGAAAAGAACUUUGAAAAGAGAGUUAAACAGUACGUGAAAUUGUCAAAAGGGAAGCGUUUUGACACCAGUGUUGUUUAGUUGAAAAUCAAUUCAAUAGUUUUUGAUUCUAAGUAGUAUUGACUUCAUCAGCUUGCUGCUUUCUUUCUCAGAAAUUAUUGAAUGCACUUUUCAGUUAACAAGUCAACAUCAAUUUCUUUUGUUGUAAAAGGGUAAGAGGAAGGUGGCUUGCGCUUCGGCUCAAGUGUUUAUAGCCUUUUAUCUCUGCAAUCGGAGAGAUUGAGGUCUGCAGCGUAGAUCCUUCGGGGUUAGAUACAUUGGUGCUAAGCUAUAGCCUUGUAUAGACAACUUGUUGACUAUGCUCAGUCAUGUAGCUUACUCGCUGAUGCUAUUUUACCUACGCUUAGGAUGUUGACAGCAGUAUAGACUGU